UAGGGAAUAUUGGUCAAUGGGUGAGAGCCUGAACCAGCCAUGCCGCGUGCAGGAAGAAGGCCUUCUGGGUUGUAAACUGCUUUUGCCAGGGGAUAAAACGGGAGUGCGCUCCUAAUUGAAGGUACCUGGUGAAUAAGCCACGGCUAACUACGUGCCAGCAGCCGCGGUAAUACGUAGGUGGCAAGCGUUGUCCGGAUUUAUUGGGUUUAAAGGGUGCGUAGGCGGCUCCUUAAGUCAGUGCUGAAAUACUCUAGCUUAACUAGAGGGGUGGCAUUGAUACUGAGGAGCUUGAGUAGAGUCGAGGUAGGCGGAAUUGACGGUGUAGCGGUGAAAUGCUUAGAUAUCGUCAAGAACACCGAUAGUGUAGACAGCUUACUAGGCUUCAACUGACGCUGAGGCACGAAAGUGUGGGGAUCAAA
RNAcentral lists this ribosomal RNA (419 nucleotides) under uncultured bacterium. Its description in RNAcentral is "bacterial SSU rRNA". It matches the Rfam family "Bacterial small subunit ribosomal RNA", at positions 355 to 772 of the family's 1533-position model. The record is from RNAcentral.